AACGCUAGCGGCAGCUUAACACAUGCAAGUCGAGGGGUAUGCUUCUUCGGAAGCAGAGACCGGCGCACGGGUGCGUAACGCGUAUGCAAUCUACCUUUUACAGAGGGAUAGCCCAGAGAAAUUUGGAUUAAUACCUCAUAGUAUAACAUGACCGCAUGGUCGAGUUAUUAAAGUCACAACGGUAAAAGAUGAGCAUGCGUCCCAUUAGCUAGUUGGUAAGGUAACGGCUUACCAAGGCUACGAUGGGUAGGGGUCCUGAGAGGGAGAUCCCCCACACUGGUACUGAGACACGGACCAGACUCCUACGGGAGGCAGCAGUGAGGAAUAUUGGACAAUGGGCGCAAGCCUGAUCCAGCCAUGCCGCGUGCAGGAUGACGGUCCUAUGGAUUGUAAACUGCUUUUAUACGAGAAGAAACACUCCGACGUGUCGGAGCUUGACGGUAUCGUAAGAAUAAGGAUCGGCUAACUCCGUGCCAGCAGCCGCGGUAAUACGGAGGAUCCAAGCGUUAUCCGGAAUCAUUGGGUUUAAAGGGUCCGUAGGCGGUUUAAUAAGUCAGUGGUGAAAGCCCAUCGCUCAACGGUGGAACGGCCAUUGAUACUGUUAGACUUGAAUUAUUAGGAAGUAACUAGAAUAUGUAGUGUAGCGGUGAAAUGCUUAGAGAUUACAUGGAAUACCAAUUGCGAAGGCAGGUUACUACUAAUGGAUUGACGCUGAUGGACGAAAGCGUGGGUAGCGAACAGGAUUAGAUACCCUGGUAGUCCACGCCGUAAACGAUGGAUACUAGCUGUUGGAAGCAAUUUCAGUGGCUAAGCGAAAGUGAUAAGUAUCCCACCUGGGGAGUACGUUCGCAGA
RNAcentral lists this ribosomal RNA (853 nucleotides) under Flavobacterium sp. B28. Its description in RNAcentral is "bacterial SSU rRNA". It matches the Rfam family "Bacterial small subunit ribosomal RNA", at positions 32 to 893 of the family's 1533-position model. Lineage: Bacteria; Pseudomonadati; Bacteroidota; Flavobacteriia; Flavobacteriales; Flavobacteriaceae. The record is from RNAcentral.